Molecule: ribosomal RNA, 327 nt
Filed under: uncultured Glissomonadida
Lineage: Eukaryota; Cercozoa; Glissomonadida
Description: partial small subunit ribosomal RNA
Rfam family: Eukaryotic small subunit ribosomal RNA (bases 53-327)
Source: RNAcentral
GAUUUCUGACGAAACUGCUAGCUGGCCCGUCACGUCAGUGAUGUGUGCCGGCUUGGCGUUUGUCAUCCGUUCGAAUGAUAUGCGCGCUGCCCUUCACUGGGUUGGUGCUGCAUGUUUUCGAUCUUUUACUUUGAAAAAAUUAGAGUGUUUAAAGCAGGCUUGCGCUAUGAAUACAUUAGCAUGGAAUAAUAAUUUAGGACUUUGGUCUUAUUUUGUUGGUUUCUAGGACUAAAGUAAUGAUUGAUAGGGACAGUUGGGGGUGCUAGUAUUCAGCGGCCAGAGGUGAAAUUCUUGGAUUCGCUGAAGACUAACUUAUGCGAAAGCAUU